This 331-nucleotide ribosomal RNA is filed under the name Paenalicyclobacillus pomorum. RNAcentral's name for it is "bacterial SSU rRNA". It matches the Rfam family "Bacterial small subunit ribosomal RNA", at positions 554 to 886 of the family's 1533-position model. Lineage: Bacteria; Bacillati; Bacillota; Bacilli; Caryophanales; Alicyclobacillaceae. The record is from RNAcentral.
CUGGGUAUAAAGCGUGUGCAGGCGGCUAUAUAUGUCUGGUGAGAAACCCCGGAUCUCAACUGGAAGAGCGCCUUGGAUACUGGAUCUCUUGAGCCUUGGAGAGGCAAGGGAAAUUCCAAGUGUAGCGGUGAAAUGUGUAUAUAUGGGGAAGCACCCCUGUGGAGAAGGCGCCUUUCUGCCCAAUUUCUGACGCUGAGGCGCGAAAGCGUGGGGAGCACACAGGAUUAUAUCCCCUGGUAGUCCACGCCGUAAAAGAUGAAUUCUAGGUGUUGGGAGUUGACCCCCUCAGUGCCGAAGCUAACGCAUUAAGCANNCCGCUGGGGAGUACGUC